UUUAUUAUAAAAAUGCAUGUGUGUGUAGGUGACAUCAGAUCAAACCACACUAUGUAGUGUCCACAUCUGGGUGGGAUGUGCGGCAAACCCAAUAAGUGAGGCUUGCCAUAAAAUCAUCCCAGAUAAAAAUCCAUAGAUGGCCCAUAAUUCCACUUCUCUACAAAAAUAAAGACAAAGUCGAGGGGUCACAUGUUUCCACUCUUUGUGUCAUGGGAAUAAUCCAUGGCUGCUGAAGUAACUUUGAAUGUUGGACUCACCCCAACCUUAACAUAUAUAUAUAUAUAUAUAUAUAAAUUGUAGGUGAUUGAGGUGGUGUGUGUUUUUGGUUCCAACCCUAAAUGCUGAAACCUUGGUGUGGUGAGAUUAGGGAAAUGGGAGGGUUUAUUCAUUCAUUUAUAUGAACAUUAUUAUUGACAUUUUGAGUCCCUAAGACCACCAAAGAGUGCCAAGUCAUGCCUAAUAUCCAAGCAUGGCAUUGUACGCUCCACAAGUUUGCCUUAGUAUUUGGCUUUAUCACCACCAAAAAAUAAAUAAAUAAAUAAAUAAAUAUUUUCAGCUUGAAUGAGAAAACAUGUAUAACUUGAACUGCAACCAUGACUCAUUUGUUUUUAUUUUUUUUU
RNAcentral lists this long non-coding RNA (620 nucleotides) under Physcomitrium patens. RNAcentral's name for it is "long non-coding RNA (PPAT_LNC012052)". Lineage: Eukaryota; Viridiplantae; Streptophyta; Bryopsida; Funariales; Funariaceae. The record is from RNAcentral.